UGAGGAAUAUUGGUCAAUGGGCGAGAGCCUGAACCAGCCAAGUAGCGUGCAGGAUGACGGCCCUAUGGGUUGUAAACUGCUUUUGUAUGGGGAUAAAGUCAAUCACGUGUGAUUGUUUGCAGGUACCAUACGAAUAAGGACCGGCUAAUUCCGUGCCAGCAGCCGCGGUAAUACGGAAGGUCCGGGCGUUAUCCGGAUUUAUUGGGUUUAAAGGGAGCGUAGGCUGGAGAUUAAGUGUGUUGUGAAAUGUAGACGCUCAACGUCUGACUUGCAGCGCAUACUGGUUUCCUUGAGUACGCACAACGUUGGCGGAAUUCGUCGUGUAGCGGUGAAAUGCUUAGAUAUGACGAAGAACUCCGAUUGCGAAGGCAGCUGACGGGAGCGCAACUGACGCUGAAGCUCGAAGGUGCGGGUAUCGAACAGGAUUAGAUACCCUGGUAGUCCGCACAGUAAACGAUGGAUGCCCGCUGUUGGUACCUGGUAUCAGCGGCUAAGCGAAAGCAUUAAGCAUCCCACCUGGGGAGUACGCCGGCNCGGU
Molecule: ribosomal RNA, 538 nt
Filed under: uncultured bacterium
Lineage: Bacteria
Description: bacterial SSU rRNA
Rfam family: Bacterial small subunit ribosomal RNA
Source: RNAcentral